GGGCCGUUAGCUCAGUUGGUAGAGCAGCUGACUCUUAAUCAGCGGGCCGCUGGUUCGAGCCCAGCACGGCCCA
This 73-nucleotide transfer RNA is filed under the name Mariprofundus aestuarium. RNAcentral describes it as "tRNA-Lys". It matches the Rfam family "tRNA". Rfam says of the family: Transfer RNA (tRNA) molecules are approximately 80 nucleotides in length. Their secondary structure includes four short double-helical elements and three loops (D, anti-codon, and T loops). The record is from RNAcentral. Lineage: Bacteria; Pseudomonadati; Pseudomonadota; Candidatius Mariprofundia; Mariprofundales; Mariprofundaceae.